AUUGUCUAAAGCCCCAGGAAAAAUGGUGGAAAAUUCACCGUCGCCAUUGCCAGAAAGAGCGAUUUAUGGCUUUGUCCUUUUCUUAAGCUCCCAAUUUGGCUUCAAUAUUGGGCAGUUGCAUUACCUGUCUACCUCCUUAUUGCUAUAGUAAUUGGCUACGUGCUCUUGUUUGGGAUUAACAUGAUGAGUACCUCUCCACUCGACUCCAUCCAUACAAUCACAGAUAACUAUGCAAAAAAUCAACAGCAGAAGAAAUACCAAGAGGAGGCCAUUCCAGCCUUAAGAGAUAUUUCUAUUAGUGAAGUAAACCAAAUGUUCUUUCUUGCAGCCAAAGAACUUUACACCAAAAACUGAACUGUGUGUAACCAUAGUAACACCAAGCACGUAUUUAUUUAUAAGUUUUUGCCAUUAUAAUUUUGACCAUAAAUUAAUUUGACCAUCUCUCUUAUUAAUAGAGAAGUAAAAAAUGUAAGUUGACCUUCUCUUAGAUUAUGUUCAAUGAAUAUUGUAAAUGUUCAAGUAUUGUUAAUGAAUAGAAUAAAUACAAUAUUGCAUUCCCAUA
RNAcentral lists this small RNA (562 nucleotides) under Pan troglodytes (chimpanzee). RNAcentral's name for it is "processed transcript". The record is from RNAcentral. Lineage: Eukaryota; Metazoa; Chordata; Mammalia; Primates; Hominidae.